RNAcentral lists this ribosomal RNA (497 nucleotides) under uncultured bacterium. Its description in RNAcentral is "partial 16S ribosomal RNA". It matches the Rfam family "Bacterial small subunit ribosomal RNA", at positions 28 to 507 of the family's 1533-position model. The record is from RNAcentral.
GAUGAACGCUGGCGGCGUGCCUAAUACAUGCAAGUCGAGCGAACAGACGAGGAGCUUGCUCCUCUGACGUUAGCGGCGGACGGGUGAGUAACACGUGGAUAACCUACCUAUAAUACUGGGAUAACUUCGGGAAACCGGAGCUAAUACCGGAUAAUAUAUUGAACCGCAUGGUUCAAUAGUGAAAGACGGUUUUGCUGUCACUUAUAGAUGGAUCCGUGCCGCAUUAGUUAGUUGGUAAGGUAACGGCUUACCAAGGCGACGAUGCGUAGCUGACCUGAGAGGGUGAUCAGCCACACUGGAACUGAGACACGGUCCAGACUCCUACGGGAGGCAGCAGUAGGGAAUAUUCCGCAAUGGGCGAAAGCCUGACGGAGCAAUGCCGCGUGAGUGAUGAAGGUCUUCGGAUCGUAAAACUCUGUUAUUGGGGAAGAAAAAAUGUGUAAGUAACUAUGCACGUCUUGACGGUACCCAAUCAGAAAGCAACGGCUAACUACGUG